UGUUAUUUACAUGAAAAACAUCGUCAAUAUUGGCUCUAUCCCCGCGCCGAAGAUAAAACAAAGAUUUAAGGAAAUUAUCAUGCUCAGCGAGGGAAAAAAAAAAGAAAUUGGAAGCAAAGUAGGGAAAGUUGCGCACGUCUUUUAGUUUAGUCUCAGUUUUCAGUCUUGGAAGCAACUUCGUUGUGUUAACGUUUUUCAUGUCUGAGAAGUAUAUAGAUAUAUUUUUAUGAUAUGGAAGGGAAACCAGUUUUUUCUCAAGUUGCGUCCGGGAGAGCUGAACAAACCCCAGGCAUUGAAGAUCAAGAUUUAUCUACUGACACAGUGAAAAGAAUUCGAAACUUAGUUGGAUUUUGGGCACUGGCACUUCUAAUCUUAGAAAUUAAGCCCUGCUUUGGCCCAAAGUGACCAAGGGCAAUGCACUUGUUGCAAGCAUAGAACGAGCCAGUUCAACAAUUGUUCAGUUUUCCCUCUCUGCUGCACCAUUUUGCUCUGGUGAGUAUGGUACACUGAGAGUUAGUGCUAUACCUUUUUUAACAAGUAUCUUUUGAAUUUCACCACAGUCAAAUUCUCAUCCUUCAUCACAACAGAAACUUUUUACAACAUGGCCAAGAUUAGUGGCUUCAUUGAGAAACGUAUGUAGGCAACAACUAACAUCACUUUUCUUUUUCAAAAAGAUUUUAUGAUAUUUGCUAUAGUUAUCUUUAAAGCAAACAUAAUAUUAAAGCAAACAUAAAUUUAAAGCAAACACCACUAAAAGCCCACAGACAUAGGGCCAAUAUGAUCACAGACAUGCAUUUUCUGAGUAUAAAAAAUUUUUAAUUAAUUUUUGCUUAGUGAUUUGUGAGAGGAAGAAAAGUAAGUACCGUCUAUAUUUUAUAUUUUUGUAUUAAUUUUUUACAGAAAAAGCAAGUAGGAAACUUAAGCAAUCAAGAUCUGGAAAUUAGUAAAAUUUGGUGCUACAUAAAACAGUUAAUAGAACUUUAAACUUAUCUUGCUAACAAUUAAAAGUCAUUAUUUAAUUAAUAUCUUUUAUAAAGACGUAUAAGUAGAUGUUCAUGAAAAAAUAUAGUAUAAAAAACUAUUAGAAAAUGUAAAAUAUUGUUGUGUUUGAAAUUUUUGUUCUUCUAAAGGUUUUGAGAGUUAUAUGCAGUAGUACGUGUUGUGAUGUAGUGGCCAAAACCAUUACACAAACCCUGGGUUGUAAUACAGGGUUGAAAUUAACUUCUAACUCAAGUUAAAACAAUAACAUGUAUUUUAAUAAAAUAAAUACAUUAACAAGUGCAUAACCAGACAAUGUGGGACAUGGAUACAUUCAAUCCCGUAAUUUCAGAAUUUUGUUAACAUAAAAAAUGCUGUAUUGCAUUAUACAUGAGGAGAGAUAGUUCUAGCAGGCCAACAUACCCAUGGCUCUAGCAGGAAACUUUUCCCCUCUUCUCAGGAAACUACUUUUUAUAUCUCACUGCGUUUACUUGCAAUGAACUCCUGGAGGGGAAUGAUUCCUUUACCUUGUACACAACAAAACUGUCCAUCUCCUGAGCUUGAUGAAAAGAUUUCUUUUAUCCCUUUGCCCAUUGGAGUGACCUUCAAGGCUGCAACCGGAAUCAUUAACAAAGGGGCCUCAUUUCACAGGAUUUCACCACUAAUCUGAAAAGAGAUUCUAUUGCAAUCUGAAAUCAUUCAUCCUAGACAAGUAAUCUCUAUGCGACCUUAUCGCGGUGUAAAAAAAACACGGUUUGCUACCAAAAGGAGUACAGUUGCACUAAGUUGAAAAUAUAAGAUUUAAUGUUGACUUUCCUGAAGUUCAACGAAGUAGAUGAACAUAUCGUGUCAGACUAUGGCAUGUUAGCAAAAUUAUACGAUGGAUAACCUACGAAUGUAUUUUACUGUUACAACAUGAGUUAUGUCUGAUUAACAUUUCAUUUUAGUCAUGCACGUAAUUAGCGGUGUAGUAAAAUUAUCCGGAAUACUUGGGCUAGAUUCUUGUUACACUUCAUGUAUCACAUUGCCACACCAUGUUCAAGAGAAUCACGGCUACUGGCCACGUUGACAAACACCCCGGAUAGGCAUAUCAGGAAAGACACGCAGUCAUCAGCAGAACCGGGAGGACACGCAGUCGACACCGUAUAAUCUUUCUCUCUCCAUGGGAAGGAUUCUACUACUACUUAUAUAAUUCACCUUUUGUGCUCAGCGCAGCUGCGAACAUGAGGAAUGCAGAUUCUAAAAAUUAUGCAAGGUUAAAAUUAUAUUACCUGGUAAACAAAACUUUAAUUUUUGUUAACUUUUAUAUUUUAAAUGCUUUUUUUUUUUUUUUUUUUUUUUUUUCAGUAAAAAAAUAUUUAAUAAAAAAUAGGAAAUAGAAAGAUAAAAAUAUUACUUACUAGCUGUUAAGUUACCAGCCUUCAUCUGGCUUUUAAAUAUACUGGAAAAAUGCCAGAAGGGAAUACCAAAUAUUAAAUUUUAAACCUGCACAGAAUUUUACUCUGCAGAACAACUUUAUUAAAAAAAAUUACAAUGAAAUAAGCAAUAUCCUUUAAUACAGAUAUUAAUUAUCGUAAUAAAUUAACUACCUUCCCAUACCUUUCUGUUGACAAACAUCUAGUAUCCAAGAGAAACAUUAAAUUUAAAACCUGAACAGAAUUAUCGCCCUCAUUUUUCCGAGUGGCAACAGUGCUGAUAUCAGCAAUAAUGGUUACGUACCAUUGUUGCUGUUGAAUUAUCGAUUUGAUGAAAUUUCAUCAAAAAACAUAACAUUAAAAAAAAACCAUUCGAACUGCUUUGAAAAAAAUUGCUUCAAGGUGCACUGGCUUUUGUCUAGAUGCACCUAUGUACCAAAUUUCGUAGCCCUGGGUUUAUUAGCUUAAGCGCAAGCACGAACGAAAGACACACACACACAAAGACAGACAGACUCUUCUUUAUAUAUAUAUAGAUUUCUACUUGUGCUGAAAACCAUUAUUGUAGAACUGUUAUGCUUUCUCUUUGCUUUUAUUUCUUGCAGUACCACAACGUUUUCUUCCGUGCGUUUCCCCGUAGCGUUUAUUUCUGGGAUGUUUUUGCGUGUAACCGUUCAGUGAUAAGUAAAGGAAAUCUUACUUCACAAAAAACAGAUAAAAUAUACUUAGUUGACUGCACAAAGAAAACUAUAGAAUUUCUCAAAAUGCAGUCUCUGAAUUUGAGCCACUAUAUAUCAACUGUAUAAAUUCUUUGAAUCAUUAUAUAUCAACUUCUAAUAAGAACCGGG
RNAcentral lists this long non-coding RNA (3238 nucleotides) under Stegodyphus dumicola. RNAcentral's name for it is "uncharacterized LOC118181361". The record is from RNAcentral. Lineage: Eukaryota; Metazoa; Arthropoda; Arachnida; Araneae; Eresidae.